GUCGCGUCUCGGCCUUUUGGCUGAGAUCAAGUGUAGUGUCCGUUCUGAUCGGGUUAAUACCUGAUAUGCCCUCUACCCGAGGACGCUAUAGUAAAUGGCUUUUUGGAGCAGGGAAGUGGAGCAGGAACUUGCUCCGCUCAUUACACGCGUCGACCUGGUAUUGCAGUACCUCCAGGAAUGGUGAGGAGAGU
Molecule: small nuclear RNA, 191 nt
Organism: Echinops telfairi (small Madagascar hedgehog)
Lineage: Eukaryota; Metazoa; Chordata; Mammalia; Afrosoricida; Tenrecidae
Product: U2 spliceosomal RNA
Exons: 1
Source: RefSeq, a predicted model, not a curated record